AACGUAGGGGACAAGCGUUAUCCGGAUUUACUGGGCGUAAAGCGCCCGUAGGCGGCCUGACAAGUUGGACGUGAAAGCUCCUGGCUUAACUGGGAGAGGCCGUUCAAAACUGUCAAGCUAGAGUCUGGAAGAGGAGAGCGGAAUUCCGGGUGUAGUGGUGAAAUGCGUAGAGAUCCGGAGGAACACCAGUGGCGAAGGCGACACGCUGGGCCGUACCUGACACUGAUGCGCGACAGCAUGGGGAGCAAACAGG
Molecule: ribosomal RNA, 253 nt
Filed under: uncultured bacterium
Lineage: Bacteria
Description: partial 16S ribosomal RNA
Rfam family: Bacterial small subunit ribosomal RNA
Source: RNAcentral